UACGUAGGGGGCAAGCGUUGUCCGGAAUCAUUGGGCGUAAAGAGCGCGCAGGCGGUCGUUCAAGUCGAGUGUGAAAGCCCCCGGCUCAACUGGGGAGGGUCACUCGAUACUGAUCGACUUGAAGGCGGGAGAGGGAAGCGGAAUUCCCGGUGUAGUGGUGAAAUGCGUAGAUAUCGGGAGGAACGCCAGUGGCGAAGGCGGCUUUCUGGCCCGUUCUUGACGCUGAGGCGCGAAAGCUAGGGUAGCAAACGGG
RNAcentral lists this ribosomal RNA (253 nucleotides) under uncultured bacterium. Its description in RNAcentral is "partial 16S ribosomal RNA". It matches the Rfam family "Bacterial small subunit ribosomal RNA", at positions 524 to 776 of the family's 1533-position model. The record is from RNAcentral.